This 490-nucleotide ribosomal RNA is filed under the name uncultured bacterium. RNAcentral describes it as "partial 16S ribosomal RNA". It matches the Rfam family "Bacterial small subunit ribosomal RNA", at positions 28 to 523 of the family's 1533-position model. The record is from RNAcentral.
GAUGAACGUUGGCGGCAUGGAUUAGGCAUGCAAGUCGAGCGAGAAGGGUUUUGAAGCUUGCUUUGAAACCCGGAAAGCGGCGCAAGGGAGAGUAACGAGUAGUUAUCUACCCCAAGGCCCGGAAUAGCUGCGGGAAACUGCAGGUAAUGCCGGAUAAUAUCCCCGGAUCAAAGGUGUGAUUCCGCCUUGGGAGGAGACUGCUUUGUACUAGCUAGUUGGUAGGGUAAUGGCCUACCAAGGCUACGAUGCAUAGCGGGCGUGAGAGCGUGGCCCGGCUCACUGGGACUGAAACACUGCCCAGACACCUACGGGUGGCUGCAGUCGAGAAUCUUCGGCAAUGGGCGAAAGCCUGACCGAGCGAUGCCGCGUGCGGGAUGAAGGCCCUCGGGUUGUAAACCGCUGUCGUAGAGGAGAAAGGUCUGAUGAAGAAUCAGAUUUGAUCUAUUCUAGGAGGAAGUCCGGGCUAAGUUCGUGCCAGCCGCCGCCGUAA